UACGUAGGGGGCAAGCGUUGUCCGGAUUCAUUGGGCGUAAAGAGCUCGUAGGCGGCUUGGCAAGUCGGGUGUGAAAACUUCAGGCUCAACCUGGAGCGGCCACUCGAUACUGCCAUGGCUAGAGUCCGGUAGGGGACCACGGAAUUCCUGGUGUAGCGGUGAAAUGCGCAGAUAUCAGGAAGAACACCCGUGGCGAAGGCGGCUCUCUGGUACGUGACUGACGCUGAGACGCGAAAGCGUGGGGAGCAAACAGG
RNAcentral lists this ribosomal RNA (254 nucleotides) under uncultured bacterium. Its description in RNAcentral is "partial 16S ribosomal RNA". It matches the Rfam family "Bacterial small subunit ribosomal RNA", at positions 524 to 776 of the family's 1533-position model. The record is from RNAcentral.